UACGGAGGAUGCAAGCGUUAUCCGGAAUGAUUGGGCGUAAAGCGUCCGCAGGUGGCUAUGUAAGUCUGCUGUUAAAGAGUGAGGCUCAACCUCAUAAGAGCAGUGGAAAUUACAUAGCUAGAGUGCGUUCGGGGCAGAGGGAAUUCCUGGUGUAGCGGUGAAAUGCGUAGAUAUCAGGAAGAACACCGGUGGCGAAAGCGGCACUCUGGGCCGGAACUGACGCUGAGGAGCGAAAGCGUGGGGAGCAAACAGG
Molecule: ribosomal RNA, 253 nt
Filed under: uncultured bacterium
Lineage: Bacteria
Description: partial 16S ribosomal RNA
Rfam family: Bacterial small subunit ribosomal RNA
Source: RNAcentral